UACGUAGGGCGCGAGCGUUGUCCGGAAUUAUUGGGCGUAAAGAGCUCGUAGUCGGCCUGUCGCGUCGGUUGUGAAAGCCCGGGGCUCAACCCCGGGUCUGCAGUCGAUACGGGCAGGCUAGAGUUCGGUAGGGGAGAUCGGAAUUCCUGGUGUAGCGGUGAAAUGCGCAGAUAUCAGGAGGAACACCGGUGGCGAAGGCGGAUCUCUGGGCCGACACUGACGCUGAGGAGCGAAAGCGUGGGGAGCGAACAGG
Molecule: ribosomal RNA, 253 nt
Filed under: uncultured bacterium
Lineage: Bacteria
Description: partial 16S ribosomal RNA
Rfam family: Bacterial small subunit ribosomal RNA
Source: RNAcentral